GAUGAACGCUGGCGGCGUGCUUAACACAUGCCAGUCGAACGGGAAACCUUUUAUUGAAGCUUCGGCAGAUUUAGCUGGUUUCUAGUGGCGGACGGGUGAGUAACGCGUGGGUAACCUGCCUUAUACAGGGGGAUAACAACCAGAAAUGGUUGCUAAUACCGCAUAAGCGCACAGGACCGCAUGGUCCGGUGUGAAAAACUCCGGUGGUAUAAGAUGGACCCGCGUUGGAUUAGCUAGUUGGCAGGGUAACGGCCUACCAAGGCGACGAUCCAUAGCCGGCCUGAGAGGGUGAACGGCCACAUUGGGACUGAGACACGGCCCAGACUCCUACGGGAGGCAGCAGUGGGGAAUAUUGCACAAUGGGGGAAACCCUGAUGCAGCGACGCCGCGUGAAGGAAGAAGUAUCUCGGUAUGUAACUUCUAUCAGCAGGGAAGAUAGUGACGGUACCUGACUAAGAAGCCCCGGCUAACUACGUG
Molecule: ribosomal RNA, 477 nt
Filed under: uncultured bacterium
Lineage: Bacteria
Description: partial 16S ribosomal RNA
Rfam family: Bacterial small subunit ribosomal RNA
Source: RNAcentral